Molecule: ribosomal RNA, 254 nt
Filed under: uncultured bacterium
Lineage: Bacteria
Description: partial 16S ribosomal RNA
Rfam family: Bacterial small subunit ribosomal RNA
Source: RNAcentral
UACGGAGGGUGCGAGCGUUAUCCGGAUUCACUGGGCGUAAAGGGCGCGUAGGCGGCCCGCACAAGUCUGCGGUGAAAACCUCCGGCUUAACCGGGGGCCGGCCGUGGAAACCAUCUGGCUAGAGUCCGGAAGAGGAGAAUGGAAUUCCCGGUGUAGCGGUGAAAUGCGCAGAUAUCGGGAAGAACACCCGUGGCGAAGGCGGUUCUCUGGGACGGUACUGACGCUGAGACGCGAAAGCGUGGGGAGCGAACAGG